RNAcentral lists this long non-coding RNA (2818 nucleotides) under Marmota monax (woodchuck). Lineage: Eukaryota; Metazoa; Chordata; Mammalia; Rodentia; Sciuridae. The record is from RNAcentral.
GAAGGAAGCACUGUUUACUCACUGUUACCUGUUCAUUGUCUGCAAAUAGAUUAAUGGUCAAAUUAUAUUUUUCAUGUCAGCUUUUUUUGUUGCCAUUGAAUACAAAAUACUGCUGGUCUCAGUUUAAUAUUUGAUAAUGAAAAAAUUUUGCCCAUUGAACAUCUUGGUUUCAUGCAAUACACAGAAUCUAAGUGUAUUUAGGUCUGUGAGUAGACCUAAAAAGGAUUGCCUUUUGAAGAAAUGCUUCUAAAAGACUAUGAAAUUGUGCUCAUCUUUAAAUUGUUGGUGGAAAGCAAAUAAUUUUGAACUAUUCUGUUUUCCCUAGACUAGUAAAAGGUAAAAAUAUUAGUAUGUGAUUAUGAAAACUAGAAAUAGCUUUUAUUUUUCAUUUUUUACUUAUUUUUUUUUCUUUUUUUUUUUUUAGCUUUCACAUACUCGAGACAUGUCUUUCUGUGUCUGGCUGAUUUCACUCACAUGUUGUCCUCAAUUCCAUUCAUUUACUUCAAGCAAUGGGAUUUCAUUCUUAUUUAUGGCUAAAUAAUACUAUACUGUAUGAACAUUUUUCUUUAUUCAUCCAUCUGUUGACAGUCACCUAGACUGACUCCAUGGCUUGGCUAUUGUGAAUCAUGCUGCACUGGGCAUGCGGGUGUCUCUUGUAUGCUGGCUUUAUUUCCAACGGGUAUGUGUCCAGGAAUGGCAUAGCUAGAUAUGGUAGUUCUUUUUAGUUUGAGGAAACACCAUACUGUUUUCCAUAGUGACAGUACUAAAUUACAUUCUUACCAAUAGCAUAUUGCCGCAGUCUGGCUGGGCACAAAAUAACCGAGCCACCACAAAGGCCUUGUAGAUUCAAAUAGCAACUCUUUAUUCCCGAACUCUCACUGGCACUCUACACGCACGUUCUGGGAAAAUACACCCUCCAACUGGCUCUGCGUACCAAAUACCCUCUGAAUCCCGCAAGAACUCAACGGGAACUCCAGGAGUGGGCGCCUGAGGCAGCAGGAUACGCCCUAUUCCCAGCAGGAUCCACCCUAAACCCAGAUCCACCCUAAUCCCUGAGCAGGGUCACCUUUCAACCAAAACUCUCAAACAUUCAUGCAAUGUCACUGCAAAUGACCUGGGUCCAAGGCAAGCCCAUUUCCACAAUGGAGAGUCCUCCCUCUAAGCAACAUUGGGUAGGCUGACAAGGAAACUGCCAUGCGUCAUUCCUACUUGUCUAUGGCUCUCAGCAGCAUAUAAGUAUUCGUUUGUUUUCAUGUCCUUGGCAGCAUUUGUUUAUUUUCUUUUAUAAUUGCCAUUCUAACUAGGGUGAGAUAUUGUUUUACUGCCAUUUUGAUUUGUGUUUCCCUGAUGGCUAAUAAUAUUGAACAUAUUUUCAUAUAUUUAUUGGCUGCUUGUAUUUUUUAAGAAAUGUCUAUUCAGAUCAUUUGCCCAUUUUUAAGUUUGAUUAUCUUUUUUUCUUUAUAUGUUAUGGAUAUCAAUCCUCUAUUAGAUGAAAAGCUGAUGAAUAUUUUAUCUCAUUCUGUAGGUGGUCUCUUCACUCUGUUGAUUUGUUUCCUUUGCUAAGUAGAAGCUUUUUAGUUUGAUGUAAUCCCAUUUGCUAACUUUAGCUUUUUUUUCUGUGCUUUUUGAGUCCUAUCCAGAAAAAUCAUUCUGUAUUGAUAUUCUUGAAGUGCUUCCUUUAUAUUUUAUUUGAGUAGUUUUAACGUUUUAAGCUUUAGUUUGAUCCAUUUGGAGUUAAUUUUUUGUACAGGGUGAGAGUGGGGAUCAAGCUUCAAUCUUUUGAAUGUGGAUAGUUUCCCAGCAUGAUUUGUUAAAGAAGCUGUACUAUUUUUCUAAUGUCUGAUUUUGGCACCUUUGUUGAGAAUCAGUUGACUGUAGACAUGUGGAUUUAUUCCUGGUUUCUCUAUUCUGUACCAUUGAUGUAUGUCUCUUUUUAUACCAAAACCAUGUUGUUUUUGUUGCUAUGGCUCUGUAGUAUGUCUUAAAAUCAGAUAUUGUGAUGUCUCCGUAUGUGCUCUUUUUGCUCAAGAUCACUUUAGCUAUUUGGUACCUUUUGAGCUUCUACAUGAAUUUUAGGAUUGUUGUUCAAGUUCUGUAAAAAAUGUCACUGGCAUUUUGAUGGGGGUUGCAUUGAAUCUAUAGAUCACUUUGGGUAGUGUAGACAUUUUAAUGAUAUUUUUUCCAAUCCAUGAACAUGAAAGGUCUUUCCACUGUUUAGGAUCUUAUUUCUUUCUUCAGUGUUCUGAAUUUUCAUUGUAGAAGUCUUUCAUUUCCUUAAGUUUAUUCGUGUGUGUGUGUGUGUGUGUGUGUGUGUGUGUGUGUGUUGCAAAUGGGAUAACUUUUCUGAUUUCUCAGCAAAUUUGUUAUUGUUAUAUAGAAAAGUUAUUGAUUUUUUCAAUGUUGAAUUUGUAUCUUACUACUUUAUUGAUUUUAUCAGUUCCAAUAGUGUUUUCAUGGCGUCUUGAGGUUUUUCUGUGUAUGGAAUCAUAUCUGCACACAGGGAUAAUUUUGAGUUCCUUCUUUUCUAUUUGUAUGCCUUUUAUUUUUCUCUUGCCUGAUUGACCUGGCUAAAAUUCCUACUACAUUGAAUAAGAGCACUGUGAACUACAUACUUGUUUUGUUCCUAAUCUUGGAGAAAAUGCUUUCAGUUUUCCCCAUUCAGCAUAAUGUUGACUGUGAGUUUGUUAUAUAUAGCAUUUAUUGUGAUGAGGUAUGAUCCUUUUAUAUCUAAUUUGUUCAACACUUUUAUCAUGAAGGAGCAUUGAAUCUUAUCACAGGCUUUUUCUGCAUAUAUUGAGAUUAUUAUGACUUUUCUUCC